CAAAAAGAUUGAUGAUUGGAACCGUAUUUACUGUUAAUAAUUCAGAAACGUAAAGGACCCGCAUCGCCAUUGCCAGCUCUAGUGGGAUAUACUCGCUGUGGCUAUACUUUUGUAUUGAAAGGGUUGGUUUUUCCUCAGUGGAAGCGACGACCUUUAGCUGUCAUCGGCUCCAGACUCUUCCUUUAUCCGGAACGAUCCUGUCACCGAACAGGAUGCGUGCCGUGGAUCAAGAAUUUCUUCGGCCGAAAGGAUUUAUCGUCCUGACGUGCAAUUACGUCGCCGAACAUUCAGAUACGCGCGUCGCUAUCGCGCGAAAGAAAAAUGGCAUUGCUUGUAGAACAAGAACUGUAUUUACAGCAUGGAUAAGUAAUAUAGCGAAUUGAAAUAAAUGAAAUAUUGAUUGUUAUGAAUAGAAUACGCUCUAUUCUUGCCCGUCUAAUAAACCCAUUUAACG
Molecule: long non-coding RNA, 454 nt
Organism: Cyphomyrmex costatus
Lineage: Eukaryota; Metazoa; Arthropoda; Insecta; Hymenoptera; Formicidae
Exons: 3
Source: RefSeq, a predicted model, not a curated record